Molecule: long non-coding RNA, 1157 nt
Filed under: Papio anubis (olive baboon)
Lineage: Eukaryota; Metazoa; Chordata; Mammalia; Primates; Cercopithecidae
Description: lncRNA (ENSPANG00000050494.1)
Source: RNAcentral
UUCAUUUAAAAUGUGAAUUCAAAGUUACUGUCUAGUGUCCUUUAACUUCAGCAUGAAGGACUAUCUUUAGCAUUUUUUGUAGGACAGGUCUACUAGCGAUGAGCUCCCUGAGUUUUUGUCUAUCUGGGAAUGUCUUAACUUCUCCAUUUUUUUUUUUUUUUUUUGAGGCAGGGUCUCUGUCACCCAGGCUGGAGUGCAAUGGCAUGAUCUUGGCUCACUGCGGCCUCCUCCUGGGUUCAAGUGAUUCUCCUGUCUCAGCCUCCUAAGUAGCUGGGACUACAGGUGUGUGCCACCACACCUGGCUAAUUUUGUAUUUUUAUAGUGAUGGGGUUUCACCAAGUUGGCCAAGCUGGUCUUGAACUCCUGACCUUAGGUGAUCUACCUGCCUUGGCCUCCCAAAGUGCUGGGAUUACGGGUCUGAGUCCCGCCCCUGGCCCGCCCUGGCUAGUCUUGAACUCCUAGCCUCAAGCAAUUCUUCUGCCUCAGCCUCCCAAAGUGCUGGAAUUACAAGUGUGAGCCACCAUGCCUGACCUCUACUGUUGAAUUGUUUCUAGUUUUUCAUUGUUAAAAGCAAUGCAUCAUUUUACAUUAUUGAAAUUUAGAGUUUUUAUUAUUAUGUAUGCUAAAUAUUAUGCUCGUUAUUUUUUUUGUUGCUAUUCAAAGUCAUCAAGACACUUUUAGCUCUUGUUGGUAGGUGAGGCAUGGGCCAAAAGAACUAAAGAUAAAGGAGCAGCUGGAUUUAAUCUGCAAGCAGCUGAACUGAUGCUGUGAAAAGGGCUUGGGCAGCCUAUUGGUAAAAGAACAAUAAACAAAGAUGUAAGAAAAAGUAACAGGUUUUUACUAAUUUAACAAAUGUAAAGACACUUGCAUUUUUAAAAGCUAUCUUUUUUUUUCUGUUUAUUUCACAGUUUUUAAAGAAGAUGUAACCAAUUCUUAAUACCUAAAAGUAGAAAGCACGGGCAAGUGUAUAAAUGUUUUCUCAUUCCUUUCUACUUCUGGGUGGAAGCCUGAAUGCGUAUCUAUUAUUGCAAUUACUUCCUAAUCCUCUGCAAGUGGCAGCUUCCGGAGAAGCAAGCAAGGGCUGUGAGAAAAACUUUAAAGCCUCUAAAGCUUAAACUGAAAUUUAAAUUUACUUAAAAAGAUCAGCAACAAUAAAC